CUCGAGGUCAACGUCAGAGCACGACGCUUGGCAUUUGUUUCCCAAAAAUUAGCUAUUGGCAGCAUCUACAACGCGCUGUGCCAUCCCAGCUAAUAGCUCUAAGAAGAAUUACAAUCACAGAAUUCACUUUUUAGCUGCUCAGAUCAAGUACAACAAGCAUGCGUUUGUCAGCCACACGGCGGCUCGAGCUAGCAGCAUUCCUGACGUCCGAUUAUGUUUCAUUCUGCCUUUGGCAGAAGUUUGCAGUUUCCUUCUUGAAGUUGUAUAAUAGAUACUUUUGAUUCAUAAUUGAAUGGAAGAUUAUAAUCAACCUUGGGAUGUUCGCUUGCUCAUGGAAUAAAGCCACUAAGUCCACUAUAAAUAUUUAUAAUUUUUUCCACAUUUGUUAGUAUAAUUAAAGGGAAGGAAAUUCAAUGCAACAGUUGGGGGAGGGAGGGAAGUAAAACCUGUUAUUUACAGUGUCCUUUAAAAUUAAAUGUAUAGGCAUUAAUUGCUUAUUAUACACACCGUUAUUCAACCAGCAACAUGCAGAAAGCCAAGCCAAAGAGAAGAGCCUACAGCUUACAAACAGCCUUCAAUAAUGUGUCCUGACCGGUCAUUCAGACAAGAAAAGGCACAGAGCAUCGUGUUCAUUUCCACCAGCAGAGACUACAAGAUGCUACUGCGGCAGCUCAGUAUUGUUUUACACAGUGCAGCACCGUGUGAAUGACUGUGCAGUGUUAGCUGCUACCAGCACCAUUUAGGAGCAUUUUAUACCACUCCAAGACAAAUGCAAUUGGCCCUGUUAUCACUAUAUAUAUAAAACACCCACGAGUCCCUGGCAGAAAUGCAAGGGCACGUAGUGGUGAGGAAAAUGCUGCCUCCAACCUCGCUGCUCCUCGUGGAGAACAGCAACCAUCACCUGGUAACCAACUUCACAAAGGCAGACAACAGCCUUGUCCCCAGCUGAGAAAUCCCCAGUUUACACUGCAGUUCCAGAAGAGGAACGCUCAUUUUCAAAAAGGUUUGGGAGCCUGCAACAACGGGGUGCAGGCAGGAGCUGGUCCCAGUGUGCCCGGAAGGAUUUGCAUGCUCAGAGAAAGAGCUGAAAACACACUUUCUUCGACUGCCUGAACUGUGCUGCCAGAAAAGUGAGGAGAGGAAGAAACAAAACAAAAACACUGAAGUGCUAUUGCCUGGAAACCACUUU
This 1189-nucleotide long non-coding RNA is filed under the name Numida meleagris (helmeted guineafowl). RNAcentral describes it as "lncRNA (ENSNMEG00000005667.1)". Lineage: Eukaryota; Metazoa; Chordata; Aves; Galliformes; Numididae. The record is from RNAcentral.